GGACUACCCGGGUAUCUAAUCCCGUUUGCGCCCCAGGGCUUCGUCCCUCACCGUCGGAUUCGUUCUAGUCAGACGCCUUCGCCACCGGUGGUCCUUCCAGGAUUACAGGAUUUUACCCCUACCCCAGAAGUACCUCUGACCUCUCCCGGUCCCAAGUCUCCCAGUCUCCCCGGACUUCGGACAGUUAAGCUGCCCGAUUUACCCAAGGAUUUAGAAGACCGGCUACGGACGUUUUAGGCUCAAUAAUAUCGACCACCACUUGGGGCGCGGGUAUUACCGCGGCGGCUGGCACCCGUCUUACCCGCCCCUUACUCCUCCUGUUUUUUAGACAGAAGAACAGCUAACACAAAGUGCUAGCACUUGGAAUUCCCUCGUCGGGGUUGCCCCCAUUGUGAAGUUUUCGCGACUGCUGCCCCCCGUAGG
This 423-nucleotide ribosomal RNA is filed under the name uncultured Thermogymnomonas sp. Its description in RNAcentral is "partial 16S ribosomal RNA". Lineage: Archaea; Methanobacteriati; Thermoplasmatota; Thermoplasmata; Thermoplasmatales. The record is from RNAcentral.